This 638-nucleotide ribosomal RNA is filed under the name uncultured Actinomycetes bacterium. RNAcentral's name for it is "bacterial SSU rRNA". It matches the Rfam family "Bacterial small subunit ribosomal RNA", at positions 232 to 885 of the family's 1533-position model. The record is from RNAcentral. Lineage: Bacteria; Bacillati; Actinomycetota; Actinomycetes.
CGCGGCCUAUCAGCUUGUUGGUGGGGUAACGGCCUACCAAGGCAUCGACGGGUAGCUGGUCUGAGAGGACGAUCAGCCACACUGGGACUGAGACACGGCCCAGACUCCUACGGGAGGCAGCAGUAGGGAAUCUUGCGCAAUGGGGGAAACCCUGACGCGGCAACGCCGCGUGUGGGAUGACGGCUUUCGGGUUGUAAACCACUUUCAGUGAUGACGAAAAUGACGGUAAUCACAGAAGAAGGUCCGGCCAACUACGUGCCAGCAGCCGCGGUAACACGUAGGGACCGAGCGUUGUCCGGAUUUAUUGGGCGUAAAGAGCUCGUAGGCGGUUCUGUAAGUCGGAUGUGAAAACUCAGGGCUCAACCCUGAGACGCCAUCUGAUACUGCAGUGACUAGAGUCCGGUAGGGGAAGAUGGAAUUCCUGGUGUAGCGGUGGAAUGCGCAGAUAUCAGGAGGAACACCAAUGGCGAAGGCAGUCUUCUGGGCCGGUACUGACGCUGAGGAGCGAAAGCAUGGGGAGCAAACAGGAUUAGAUACCCUGGUAGUCCAUGCCGUAAACGUUGGGCACUAGGUGUGGGGUCUUCUAACGGAUUCCGUGCCGUAGCUAAUGCAUUAAGUGCCCCGCCUGGGGAGUACGG